AUUGAACGCUAGCGGGAUGCUUUACACAUGCAAGUCGAACGGCAGCGCGGACUUCGGUCUGGCGGCGAGUGGCGAACGGGUGAGUAAUGUAUCGGAACGUGCCCAGUAGCGGGGGAUAACUACGCGAAAGCGUAGCUAAUACCGCAUACGCCCUACGGGGGAAAGCAGGGGAUCGUAAGACCUUGCACUAUUGGAGCGGCCGAUAUCGGAUUAGCUAGUUGGUGAGGUAACGGCUCACCAAGGCGACGAUCCGUAGCUGGUUUGAGAGGACGACCAGCCACACUGGGACUGAGACACGGCCCAGACUCCUACGGGAGGCAGCAGUGGGGAAUUUUGGACAAUGGGGCAACCCUGAUCCAGCCAUCCCGCGUGUGCGAUGAAGGCCUUCGGGUUGUAAAGCACUUUUGGCAGGAAAGAAACGUCGCGGGCUAAUACCCCGUGGAACUGACGGUACCUGCAGAAUAAGCACCGGCUAACUACGUG
Molecule: ribosomal RNA, 483 nt
Filed under: uncultured bacterium
Lineage: Bacteria
Description: partial 16S ribosomal RNA
Rfam family: Bacterial small subunit ribosomal RNA
Source: RNAcentral